UUUGAACCUUGGACCUCUUGCAUGCUAGGCAACUGCUCUGCCAUUGAGCUAUACACCAGUACUUAUGCUUUGGGGUUGUGAGCUGAGAAUUGAAUGCAGGGCCUUGAGCAGCUAGGUACAACUGGAAGUCAGAGCUGGAGGAAGCCAUAGAGACCGACUGACUUAACUGACUCCUCCUACAGAUGGGGAAACUGAGCUCCAAAGACGUCCUAUGACUCAGUGGGUCAGCUUGGGGUACUGAUCUCUGUAUUCUUGGUCCAGCACUAUUUCUGCUGCUCCUGAUGGUACUAACUGAGCAUCAGCCAUGGUUCUGGAGGCCCCUUCUUGGGGUUGAAUGACUACGAGGGCUCCUGGCUCAGAACUGGUUUUUAUCCCUGGUCAGAAGUCUUGAGUCCAUUCUCCUGGAGCCUCUGUCCUUAUUCUCCUCAGUUUGGACGGAAUCACAUUUAAGUCCCCAAGGCCCCCAUUCUUGCUGCUGACUGGAUAGAACUCGAGGACUUUGGAACGUUUGUGCAUCUAGCACACAGAGAUUGAGCUCACAGCACAGGAGUGUUAGGUAAAACCUUAAGAAGAGCCUCUCCACCAAAGCAAAAUAACUCCAAUUAGACCAAAUCAAAAAUGCCCGCAUUUAAUAAAUGCAGUGCUCUCGGGUGGCUGGGAGCAUGGGGGUAUGGGGGAUGGGACACAACAUGGGACAGAGAGGGAGAGCACAGGUAAAACCCGAAACCACGGGUUCCUUUUUCUGGCCAGGAGCCUAAAUAGCCUGUGGGAGUGGUCCUGAUCCUCCCUGGCGUUUGGCUGGCUUUCCCAGAGGUGGAGUCUAGCCCAAGGCAAGCCCAGUGGGAGGGGACCUGUAUGGUUUAAUUGGAGUGAUUUUGCUUCAGCGGAGAGGCUCUUCUUAAGAUUUUUCCUAACAAGGAGCAAGGACUGAGGGAGCAAGGAUUGAGGGAGGAAAGAUUGAACAGUUGGCCAUUAUCCUGGCUCAUGGGGCAGGAGCGGGUUAUUGAGAAUAGAGAGGAGUGUAGCAAAGACACCCAAGGGUCACCACUUCCUUCCUCUUGGAUGCCCAAACCCCAAGUGUGGCUGGAAUAAGCUUUGCAUCCACCUCUGUUUCAAAGCUGUUAUCUCAGUCCCAUAAAAAACAUGAUUAUCAUUAUUCUUAUCAGGAUGUGUGUGCAGGUGUACCAUGACACUCAUGGGGAGGUCAGAGAACAACUUGCUGGGAUCAGUUUUCCCGCCACGUGAGUCCUUGGGGUCAGACUCAGGUCAUCGGGUUUAGAAGCAAGGGCCUUUACCUACUAAACCAUCUGGAUGGACCCAUUUCAUCAGCUCCAUUUUAAAUGUGGCCAAAUCUGUAGCACCAUCCAUUUACCGCUGUGUUGCUUUCAUGAUAUAUGAAGACAGUUUAUGGAUGUUCUGUGAUCUGAGCACAUGCUCAGACAGCAGAAGCAUCUGUGCGGAGGCAUCCCGAAUGCCACAGCGCAGUCCCCUAAAGGAGCCAGUGUCCCUGAGAUUUCCUUUUCCUCAGCCAUCAGUGGCCAAAUAUGGGGACUUGCUAGACAACGGCCCAACUCAGAAUUGCUCAUCUUCAAGAUUAUAGAAGAUUCCUUCUAUAAAACGAGUCUCCUUAGUCUCCUCUUUCCAGGAUUUACCAGCCAUUACCUGGGUGCAGCCAUCUUUUGCUCUCCUUCUGGAAUGCAGCCCCAGUAUGGGAAGAGAAGAAGGCACACUUCUAAGGCAGCCUGAUGUUGACAAAUACAAAGGGGGCAUUGAGGUAAGUAACCCUAAAAAAAUAUGGAUUAAAAAAAGUUCUCCUAGACGUCUGGAGUCAUGUCACCGUGAUGUACAUUUGAUUAAAAGACUUUUUCACUUUUCACCCAGAUGUUUAAAGUCAGAAAGACUCACCCAGGUCUGUGUAAAUAAGAAGCUACUCGGCCUCUCAGCAUCCAGAGGCAAAUGAGAACAAGGCCCAACCCAGAGAAAUUAGCUGGUGGUGGAUGAUGGCCGGUGCAGAUCUAAGGAGAUCGUUCAGGGCGUGUUUGUAAUCCACGAGACAGUCACUCAAGGUGGAUCGGGGCAGGGAAGCUAAAUGAAGUGAUUUGAAAGCUAAAAACAGCAAGCGUAUGAUGCUAUCCAGGAACCAUCUAAGGAGAAAACUCCAGCGAGGCAGAUCGAGAAUUUAAAAACAACACUCUCCGCCCCUACUACUCUGUGACAUCUGUUAACACAGAGGCAGGGCCAUUUCCUGGAAAGGUCCUUUGUGUUUACAAGGGUGAGACCCUCUUAAUGUUUCUGUGACUUUAAUUAAAGGGCUGAAGGAUGGAGCUACAUCCCGAGCAUGUCCCAGGAGGGAACUUGUUAUACACAAUGCCUCAUAUUCAAACGGAAAGAGCAAAACCCAAUCAACAAUCCAGAUGUUGGUGCUUUUCCAUGGAUGAUCUGUGUGAUUCUUGCAGAAAGGGCAGGAGGAGAAUGCGCUGGAGUGGAAAAAUGCCUUUGAAGGUUAAGAGCUAAAUUUGGGGCUCAAGAGGAUCUAGAAAGGGUGGGGCAGCUUCUAAGGCAGCCAAGAAGAUUCAAGAGGACACUGAGAUGCCAAGAGUCAUGGGGCUGACACUUCAGGAAUGCUUCCUUAAGCUGGAAAAGAGAAUGGGCCAGAGCACACACUCUAGAGGAACAGGAAUGUGGAUAAUCCCUAGUUCUGGAAACAGCCCCAAAUCAUCAAGGAUUAGCUUGGGAAUAGAGGGUGUAGUCUGGAGACAAGAGGAGCUUCUUCCAUACACAAAGUUGACUUGAGUCCCCCAGGAGUUCCUGCUGAGUGGGCUAGCGACGAUGCACACCCGGAGUUCUAUUGACUUACGGGUACAACUCUGGACUUCUGAGAACGGUGUUGUGUACUUCUGAGAGUGGUGUUUCAUUCCAUCCGUCUUGGGGACACUUGGUUUAUUUUGGAGUAUCCCACUCCAGGGCUCUUUGUUUGCCACUUGCUGCCUAGAAUGAGGAACAUUCUGUGUUGUUUCAUUUUUUGCUCCACUUAAAGGCGAAAAUCUUGUUUCCACACUGUUUCUAGCAUAAACUCUUCUGGGUGGCAUGCGGGAUUGAAUUUUCUGGCCUUCAGGACGGUCUCCAUCUCGCCUCUUUUAAAUGGGCACUUUCCAAAUGCAGUUUCAUGUCCCCUUCACCUUUACACAAUACCCUGGGGACUUCUGAACAGGAGACCUGUGCUCACCACUAACCGUCCUACAGCCCAGUCAGCAAGCAGCCCACCACCCCGUGGCCAUGCAUGGAGGGAGCGGCUGCUUCAUGCUUGUUGUGGGGCAGGAAAGGCAAAGAAGUAUAAUUUAUGGACUCUGCUCUCCAACAGAGUAUAAUCUCAUUAAAAUAUUAUGAUUGGUAGAUACACAAAUAAUUUUUUUAAAGAAUAU
Non-coding RNA from Myodes glareolus (Bank vole), 3422 nucleotides. Lineage: Eukaryota; Metazoa; Chordata; Mammalia; Rodentia; Cricetidae. The record is from RefSeq and is a predicted model, not a curated record.